CCCACAUAUAAGAAAUGUGUCUUUUCAGAUUGGUGGUGUUUCUUAAAGGGGUAUUCUGCAAACCAAACAACAACAAAUAACAUAAAAAUCAAAAAAUCACCAUGUGAUUUUUGUCUCUCUACUGUAGGCUACACUAAUCUUUUAAGUCAACAUUCGUUCAGAACGAUUAGCUUUAAAUCAAGACAAAAUGUUGCUCUUAAAAAGUAUCAAAAGAAAGUUGGAUAAUGAAAAUCGAAAUUUCAAGGAAGAGUGUACAGAGAGAUGAAAAUGUCCCUGUUUGGAAAUAAUUACAUCUCAGAGAUCAUUAUGAAUCUAAGCAUGUAACUUUCAAAGUGGCCUUCCCGCCCGAGACAGAGGCCCAGGUAGAAACACUGAAGCAUUAACGGCAAGCUGAUAUACUCUGUCACUUAAACAGGUUAAAAGUGCAGUUAUAAGUAAGAGGGAAAACAGUCGUAGACAUGGUGGAAAAACUUGAGGCCUUUACUAGGAAGAUUGAGUUGUUCGAUUUGGAUUAAUAAUCUGGAAGGCUACUGCACUUCAGCACAGGGAAUAAACGACAGGGAGAGUGACCAUGCCCAGCAUUGUUACAGAUGUGAUUUCAAGAUUUCAUCAACCAGCUGAGGGACAACUUCUCCACCAGAUUUGGCUGGGAUUUGAAGACUGCACCAUGCCCACGGAUAUCAUUGCGUUUUUACAUGAUCCUCUCACAGUCCGCACAGGUGGAGAAUUCUCCUCCCUUGUUAAGAAAACGAUACCCUCGCAGGGAUGUGCUCAGGAGUGCGGAGGCCUUGUAGCGUUUUGGGUGGCAUGCUCAGAGGAAUACAGCACAAUAAAGAAACUUGCAUUUUAUUUGCUAACAAUGUUUGGAUCGAUUUACUCCUGCGAGUCCUCAUUUUCCUCCAUGAACGCAAUAUAGAUUCACGACAGGAAAAAUAUUUCAUAUAAGUCAAUCGAGGACUGCCUGCGCAUCAAAAUCACAUCCAUCUCCCAUUGAGUAAGUAACUUAUUGGCCUAUAUGAAUGUAUUUAGUAAAUACUAACAUUAUUGUGAGUGCUUAUCCAGGGAUAUUUAGGUCUCAAGCUGACAGCAUUUUCUGUUCUGUCAUUACACGUCUAUCCGGAUACAGACAUUCAGAUACAGACAUUGAGCUACAGACAUCGCCUUUUUUCUUAAAUUAUGGUUUUAUGUUGGAUGCUACAUUUUUGUCCAAUUGCAAUUGUAAGUAGUCCUCAUAAAAAAAUCCUACUUCUAUUAGGCCAAAUAUUUUUUCAUUGUGAAAGAUGAUGUUAAGCCUCAUAGCCCACCUCAGCCAGUAUUUCAUAUAGGCCUAGACUCUGAAGAAAUAUACUUAAAUUAAGCCCUGGUGUUGUUUGUAAAGUCCAAUUAAAAUGAAGAUUAGUGUUGAACUGGUGUAGGUUUUUUAUAUAUGUUGCUGUGCUACACUUGCAUAGCAAGACUCUUACUAGAACUUGUGAAUUCAAUAUAGAUUUUAAUACAGAGUAGCAAAGCCGUGCUGAUCCAUGGAACAACCAACUUAUCUGAGCACAGAGCUCUGCCUUUAUAUCUUUGCAGCCUCACACACAGCAUAUGGUACACCCCAUAUGUAAAUGAAAUCACUCCCCUUGUCCUUCCACCACCAUUAUCUUUUAGUCCGAAUUCUUGCUUGUUCACGCCUAGUAACGCCCACAUCUGCUUCAGGUUAGAUUAUAAUGGUGGCAGGACCCCUUAUGUAAUACAAAAAAUAAUACAUUUAUUGCAUACUUCACGUUUCACAUGUUGGUCAUUUCGCUACCAUCCUCCCUUCACGUUCUCCUGUCAUUAGUAUGUCCAGAUGUAACAAAUGUAAUUAUGGCCUUAGCUAAUGUACUCAUGUACAUUGUUUUAAUGUAAUCAUUGGCAUGUUUGUUUUGCCCAGAAGAAACAAAUGCACUAGAUGAUAUCACUUCUACUUCCUGUUAAUGUGAUUAUUGUCCUGUUUUCUCAGCAUGGCAACUGCACCUAGUUACAUUGCAUUAACUCCCACACAAGUUAGCUAUAUUUUCAGUACCAGGUGCUGUUCACCUCCUAUUGAAUGCGCCGCGGUUGCAGCUUUACGUUUCACCACCACAAAAUGGUCCGCCAACUUUUUUAUUAAUUCACUGUAUCCUGCAUUCUCUCUCCACAUGAAUGAAGUUAAAAUGUAACCUUUUCAUUAUUUAGGUAGGGGCCAAAUCAUUUUGCUGGCAUGCCAGAUUUGGCCCGCGGGCCGCCAGUUGGGGAACCAUGCCCUAAGGAAAGGGACUCUCCUCCCAGGGCUGGGUAAACGAGACCUUUCCUUCCCUGCUGAGCGAGAACACAGAACGUUUCAGCCAGUCAGGCAAGGAGCCACAGCACCUAGCCCCGCCCUCACUCUCCAUUCGAACUGAAUUAUAAAAGCGUGGCUCGAAUAAUGGCCACUGCCGACCGAAAUCCUUCUGCUGCUCAGACAUAAGCGUAGUUGGUAACUGGAAAGCACCCUUGCUUACCUUCAGAUUAUAAUUGUGACACAUAGGCCUAUGUUUUAUCCCUACUCACUAAGAAAGUUUCCUAUCAAUUGAAAUGAUAGAUGGUGCCCUGUUUAUGGUGGAAUAUAGAAAACACAUAUUUGAAAUACACCAUUAGUUACCCAAUUAAAUAGACAUUAUCAUAAUGUUAGGCCACUCCUCUACACCAGUAAUUAAAAUAUUCAUGCAAGUAGACCACUGAUUGACCAGAUCAUCCUCCUCAGGAGUAUGGCAUCAUACUCUGAGGAAAAAGCAAGCAUUUUUUUAAAAUGUCUGUUUGAGAUACAAGUUUAAGGUGUUAUUUUUAAAUUUUUAUAUAUAUAUGCUUUGGCCAUAUAUGAGUAUAAGAUGAGUCAACAUUAUUUGGGUAUAACUGUCUAUUUUCACUGGACAGUUACUUUAAGUCGAAUAAUGUUGGUGUUUUUUACGAUGGGAGGGUCGGGAUCACGUGACUGGCUUCAAUAUUCUUUCAUUGGUCACCUAAGUAAAGAUGUUGCUACAGUGCUGACCAACUUUUCAACAUGUGCUCAAGCUGUAAAUUCUCAAAGUAUUUUGAGCUCUUAGUUUACUGACAGACUAGCUCUGGUCCAGAGCUUUUGCUGUCCCACAUUCCUAAUCUCAACAGGCAUGGGAUUUGAACCAGCAACCCUGUGGGCAAUGGUUCACCUCUUUAACCUUUAGGUUGUACAGUACAUUUUUAUGGUAGCCUACAUAUUAAAUUGCUGACUGAGUAAACGCAGACUGACACUUCUUCUUUCUCCAAUACUUUCCAAACAUCCCACAUCACUCUGUGUUACUGUAUGUUGGUGGUUUCAGAAGACACAUUAGUUCUCGUUCGUUAGACUAAUGUUUGCCUUUUUGGUAUUUUAAACUUUUCUUCCAAAUUUUCGUCAGACAACGCUGAAGUGAGAGCAGAACAUGGACGUGGUUGUGCGCCAUAACCACAGAGGACACCAGGAGUUUGCUGUCCAGGCCGAGCACUUGAAACUGCCGUACCUAGGACUUAGACUGAAAGCUCAGGGCAUUCACAAUAAGUACCUCUUCAAAGACAACAUCCCAGAAUACCCAAGGCCAGAGUUCUGGGUUUCCCAGCUCAGACACGACACGAAUGAAGGUGGGCUAUUUGGCAUAGCCGUCGAAAGCGAAGGGGGGUUCUGUGCUAGGGACGGAGAAGAGGGGCCAGAGGACCCAGAAGAGGGGCCAGAGGGUUUGGACCUGCUGUGGUGGAGCUUGUCUUUGGGAGCAGAGGAGAUGGCCUUGGCUGAACAACGUCUGCUCCAGACCAGGUACCCUGACAGGACAGAGGAGCAGGCCAGGGAGCAGAAAUCCUUCCUGCAGAGGUUCGCCACCUCACCUGCCUUCCUGAACACCUCUCGGCUGGGCUCCUACCGAUUCACCUUCCCCCUGGAGGAGCUGCUUAAGAGAUACCGGGAACAGCUAUGCGUUGGACACGAGCCAAUCCUGCGUGUGUAUGAGACAGUCCUGUACAAACAGGUGGUGAUGUACUCAGUGCUAGUCCACAGUCACUUCAACAACGACCUCUUUGAGAAGAGGACAAUGACGAUGGAGUCUGCGCUUACAGAGAUGGACAAAUCAUUUGGAGACCCGAGGCCAUGUGUGAGACACACAGCUUCAAACUGGUGCCAAAGCCCUACCAGAACCAGGAUGUAGCCCACCUGAUCCCUGAUCCACAGAAACACCAGUUCUACGUUUGGGACAACAUUGCUGUAGCGUUCCACAUGGACGGUUCACAGAUGUUGAACUUCGAUAUGUACAAUUUGAGAGGCCAUCUGAGAUUCUGUGAGCCAGGAACGCCACCAAUUUCCCCCACCUGUGAGUUGACCACAUACGAGGAGGCCAAAGACAUGGUAGACUGCUAUUGGCCUUACUACCAUACCCCCCUGUUCUGAUAAACUUAAUACCACACCCCCCUGUUCUGAUAAACUUAAUACCACACCCCCUGUUCUGAUAAACUUAAUACCACACCCCCUGUUCUGAUAAACUUACUACUACACCCCCCUGUUCUGAUAAACUUACUACUACACCCCCCUGUUCUUAUUUCUCCUAUUUCUUGAUUUGUUGUUUGGAUUGUUUUCAUGAUUGUGUAUUUGGAUUGUAUUUGCGAGACAUUCUACUGCACUGUUGGAGCUAGUAACACAAUCUUUUCCAUGCACCUGCCAUAACACCUGCAAAUCUGUGUACGUGACCAAUAAACUUUGAUUUGAUGAUGAUUUUGAAGUCAGGUAAAGUUAAAAUUGUUAUUCUUUCAACAUGCUUCACUGGUUUAAAACUUGAUAGGGACUUGGUCCCUGUGGCGGGAUCAAAUCAGCGGAAAUUUUAGAGCGCCACCUAUAGUUUUCAAUAAAACUCAAACUUUAAUUAAAACACACAUGCAAGGUACUGAAUUAAAGCUACACUCGUUGUGAAUCUAGCCACCAAGUCAGAUUUGUAAAAUGCUUUUCGGCGAAAGCAUGAGAAGCUAUUAUCUGAUAGCAUGCACCCCCCAGAAUACCAGACCGUCAACAAAACAACAGAUUUUGCGGUAGCCGGCGCUACCCAAAAUGCAGAAAUAAAAUAUAAAACAUUCCUUACCUUUGACGAGCUUCUUUCUUGGCACUCCUAUAUGUCACAUAAACAUCACAAUUGGGUCUUUUUCCCGAUUAAAUCCGUCAUUGUAUACCCAAAAUGUGAUUUGCUGAAGACUGGUCUGAUCCAGAAAAAUGCCCCUUUACAAGACGCAACGUCACUUUUUAAAAUUACAAAAGUUGCCUAUAAUCUUUUACAAAUCACUUCAAACUACUUUUCUAAACCAACUUUAGGUAUUAAUAAACGUUAAUAAUCUAUCAAAUUGAUCACGGGGUGAUCUGUAUUCGAUAGCAGCAAGUCUUGAAAUCAUCUUCCAUGUUUUCAAUUUCAUAACAUCCUGUGGUGAGCCCCAAAACAGGAAGUGCCUAUACGUCAUCAAACCAAGGAUAAAGGAGACUGAAAAUGCCAGUACUGGCGACAUCGUGUGGAAGCUGUAGGCGUUUACAGGGGAUCCCCAUGUAUUUUCUUCAGCCUUAGACAAUACAUUGACUGGCGGAUGAAUAUUAUUUUUGUGUUUUUGGUGAACAGUUUUUCGAAGGAUUUUUACUCCUGAACACGUUAUGUUAUAGCCACAGACACGAUUUAACCAGUUUUAGAGACUUCAGAGUGUUUUCUAUACACACACACUUAUCAUAUGCAUAUACUAUAUUCCUGGCAUGAGUAGCAGGACGCUGAAAUGUUGCAUGAUUUUUAACAAAAAGCUGCGAAAAUUUGCAGCCUCCUUAACAGGUUUUAAACCCAGUAAGCUACAUGUGUUUUUGUUAGUCAGCAUUAGUACAUUCUUUGUCAGGUUUGAGAACAUAUUGCUUUUGUUAGUCAGCAGUACUAUAUUGUUUGUCAGGAUUGAGAAAAUAUUGCUUUUGUUAUUUUUGUGUCUUUGCUCUACAAGGAGCUAAAAGGACUCAAGUAUUUUUUGUUAAGUUAGAAUUUUUAAGAAAAUAAAUCUUCUACAUUGGGACUAAACUAUUUAGCCCAGUCUCUCAA
Oncorhynchus tshawytscha (Chinook salmon) is the source of this 6092-nucleotide long non-coding RNA. Lineage: Eukaryota; Metazoa; Chordata; Actinopteri; Salmoniformes; Salmonidae. The record is from Ensembl.